AAUAACAACAAUUAUACGAUCUUGCAUAAAAUGCUCAGCAAGUAUACUGUUAUUGUUCCCAGAUUCAUGCAAUGAAUUGAAUGCUGUGUUCAAUUUCUGUUUAAGUCUUUGUGUCCUCUCUUCAAAGCUUUCUGGCUUUUGCUGAGUAUAAAUCAUUCCACUAUCUUCUGAAUAACUUAUAUCCAUGUCUUCUUGAACAACAGUGGUAGAAUCAGGACUAUUAUGCACAUCGAAUUCUAUGACACUCAAUGUUUCUUCAUCGUCAGUUUCCUUUGCAAAAC
Molecule: non-coding RNA, 281 nt
Organism: Paramuricea clavata
Lineage: Eukaryota; Metazoa; Cnidaria; Anthozoa; Malacalcyonacea; Plexauridae
Source: the annotation of a GenBank genome assembly